GAUGAACGCUAGCGGCAGGCCUAACACAUGCAAGUCGAGGGGCAUCGGGAUUGAAGCUUGCUUCAAUUGCCGGCGACCGGCGCACGGGUGCGUAACGCGUAUGUAACCUACCUAUAACAGGGGCAUAGCCCGGCGAAAGUCGGAUUAAUACCCCAUAAAACAGGGGUCCCGCAUGGGGAAUAUUUGUUAAAGAUUCAUCGCUGAUAGAUAGGCAUGCGUUCCAUUAGGCAGUUGGCGGGGUAACGGCCCACCAAGACUACGAUGGAUAAGGGGGUUCUGAGAGGGAAGGUCCCCCACAUUGGAACUGAGACACGGUCCAAACUCCUACGGGAGGCAGCAGUGAGGAAUAUUGGUCAAUGGACGCGAGUCUGAACCAGCCAAGUAGCGUGAAGGAUGACUGCCCUAUGGUUGUAAACUUCUUUUAUAAUGGGAAUAAAAGUUGUCCACGUGUGGAUUUUUGUAUGUACCAUAUGAAUAAGGAUCGG
This 485-nucleotide ribosomal RNA is filed under the name uncultured bacterium. RNAcentral describes it as "bacterial SSU rRNA". It matches the Rfam family "Bacterial small subunit ribosomal RNA", at positions 28 to 496 of the family's 1533-position model. The record is from RNAcentral.